CCUACGGGAGGCAGCAGUGGGGAAUAUUGCGCAAUGGGGGAAACCCUGACGCAGCAACGCCGCGUGAGUGAUGAAGGUCUUCGGAUUGUAAAGCUCUGUCUUUGGGGACGAUGAUGACGGUACCCAAGGAGGAAGCCACGGCUAACUACGUGCCAGCAGCCGCGGUAA
RNAcentral lists this ribosomal RNA (168 nucleotides) under uncultured Clostridium sp. RNAcentral describes it as "partial 16S ribosomal RNA". It matches the Rfam family "Bacterial small subunit ribosomal RNA", at positions 338 to 523 of the family's 1533-position model. The record is from RNAcentral. Lineage: Bacteria; Bacillati; Bacillota; Clostridia; Eubacteriales; Clostridiaceae.